GGUUAAGCGAAUAAGCGUACACGGUGGAUGCCUAGGCAAUCAGAGGCGAUGAAGGACGUGCUAAUCUGCGAUAAGCGUCGGUAAGGUGAUAUGAACCGUUAUACCCGACGAUUUCCGAAUGGGGAAACCCAAUAUCCAAUGGAUAUUAUCAUUAACUGAAUACAUAGGUUAAUGAAGCGAACCGGGAGAACUGAAACAUCUCAGUACCCCGAGGAAAAGAAAUCAACCGAGAUUCCCCUAGUAGCGGCGAGCGAACGGGGAACAGCCCAGAGUCUUAAUCAAUAGCAGCAUCAGGAGAACGGUCUGGAAAGUCCGGCAGUAAAGGGUGAUAGCCCCGUAUCUGAAGAUGCUGUUAUUGUGAACUCGACGAGUAGGGCGGGACACGUGUUAUCCUGUCUGAAUAUGGGGGGACCAUCCUCCAAGGCUAAAUACUCCUGAUUGACCGAUAGUGAACCAGUACCGUGAGGGAAAGGCGAAAAGAACCCCGGCGAGGGGAGUGAAAAAGAACCUGAAACCGUGUACGUACAAGCAGUAGGAGCCUCUUCGUGAGGUGACUGCGUACCUUUUGUAUAAUGGGUCAGCGACUUAUAUUCUGUAGCAAGGUUAACCGUAUAGGGGAGCCGUAGGGAAACCGAGUCUUAACUGGGCGAAUGAGUUGCAGGGUAUAGACCCGAAACCCGGUGAUCUAUCCAUGGGCAGGUUGAAGGUUGGGUAACACUAACUGGAGGACCGAACCGACUAAUGUUGAAAAAUUAGCGGAUGACUUGUGGAUGGGGGUGAAAGGCCAAUCAAACCGGGAGAUAGCUGGUUCUCCCCGAAAGCUAUUUAGGUAGCGCCUCGUGAAUUCAUCUUCGGGGGUAGAGCACUGUUUCGACUAGGGGGUCAUCCCGACUUACCAACUCGAUGCAAACUGCGAAUACCGAAGAAUGUUAUCACGGGAGACACACGGCGGGUGCUAACGUCCGUCGUGAAGAGGGAAACAACCCAGACCGCCAGCUAAGGUCCCAAAGUCAUGGUUAAGUGGGAAACGAAGUGGGAAGGCUCAGACAGCCAGGAUGUUGGCUUAGAAGCAGCCAUCAUUUAAAGAAAGCGUAAUAGCUCACUGGUCGAGUCGGCCCGCGCGGAAGAUGUAACGGGGCUAAACCAUGCACCGAAGCUGCGGCAGCGACACUAUGUGUUGUUGGGUAGGGGAGCGUUCUGUAAGCCUGCGAAGGUGUACUGUGAGGUAUGCUGGAGGUAUCAGAAGUGCGAAUGCUGACAUAAGUAACGAUAAUGCGGGUGAAAAACCCGCACGCCGGAAGACCAAGGGUUCCUGUCCAACGUUAAUCGGGGCAGGGUGAGUCGACCCCUAAGGCGAGGCUGAAAAGCGUAGUCGAUGGGAAACGGGUUAAUAUUCCCGUACUGGUGGUAACUGCGAUGGGGGAACGGAGAAGGCUAGGUUGUCCGGGCGACGGUCGUCCCGGUUCAAGCAUGUAGGCAGAGUGAUUAGGCAAAUCCGGUCACUUAAUGCUGAGGUGUGAUGACGAGCCACUAAGGUGGUGAAGCAAUUGAUGCCCUGCUUCCAGGAAAAGCCUCUAAGCUUCAGGUUACCAACAAUCGUACCCCAAACCGACACAGGUGGUCAGGUAGAGAAUACUCAGGCGCUUGAGAGAACUCGGGUGAAGGAACUAGGCAAAAUGGUGCCGUAACUUCGGGAGAAGGCACGCUGGCGGUAAGUGAAGUCCCUUGCGGACGGAGCCGAAGCCAGUCGAAGAUACCAGCUGGCUGCAACUGUUUAUUAAAAACACAGCACUGUGCAAACACGAAAGUGGACGUAUACGGUGUGACGCCUGCCCGGUGCUGGAAGGUUAAUUGAUGGGGUUAUCCUUAGGGAGAAGCUCUUGAUCGAAGCCCCAGUAAACGGCGGCCGUAACUAUAACGGUCCUAAGGUAGCGAAAUUCCUUGUCGGGUAAGUUCCGACCUGCACGAAUGGCGUAAUGAUGGCCAGGCUGUCUCCACCCGAGACUCAGUGAAAUUGAACUCGCUGUGAAGAUGCAGUGUACCCGCGGCAAGACGGAAAGACCCCGUGAACCUUUACUAUAGCUUGACACUGAACAUUGAGCCUUGAUGUGUAGGAUAGGUGGGAGACUAUGAAGUGUGGACGCCAGUCUGCAUGGAGUCAACCUUGAAAUACCACCCUUUAACGUUUGAUGUUCUAACCUAGGUCCAUAAUCUGGAUCGGGGACCGUGUCUGGUGGGUAGUUUGACUGGGGCGGUCUCCUCCUAAAGAGUAACGGAGGAGCACGAAGGUUGGCUAAGCAUGGUCGGACAUCAUGCGGUUAGUGCAAAGGCAUAAGCCAGCUUGACUGUGAGAGUGACGGCUCGAGCAGGUACGAAAGUAGGUCUUAGUGAUCCGGUGGUUCUGAAUGGAAGGGCCAUCGCUCAACGGAUAAAAGGUACUCCGGGGAUAACAGGCUGAUACCGCCCAAGAGUUCAUAUCGACGGCGGUGUUUGGCACCUCGAUGUCGGCUCAUCACAUCCUGGGGCUGAAGUAGGUCCCAAGGGUAUGGCUGUUCGCCAUUUAAAGUGGUACGCGAGCUGGGUUUAGAACGUCGUGAGACAGUUCGGUCCCUAUCUGCCGUGGGCGUUGGAAGAUUGAGAGGGGUUGCUCCUAGUACGAGAGGACCGGAGUGAACGCACCACUGGUGUUCGGGUUGUCAUGCCAAUGGCAUUGCCCGGUAGCUAAGUGCGGAAGAGAUAACCGCUGAAAGCAUCUAAGCGGGAAACUUGCCUCGAGAUGAGUCUUCCCUGUCACCUAGAGUGACCUAAAGGAACGUUUAAGACUAAGACGUUGAUAGGCUGGGUGUGUAAGCGUAGCGAUACGUUGAGCUAACCAGUACUAAUGAACCGUGAGGCUUAACCUG
Molecule: ribosomal RNA, 2903 nt
Filed under: Proteus appendicitidis
Lineage: Bacteria; Pseudomonadati; Pseudomonadota; Gammaproteobacteria; Enterobacterales; Morganellaceae
Description: Proteus sp. HZ0627 23S ribosomal RNA
Rfam family: Bacterial large subunit ribosomal RNA
Source: RNAcentral